GAUGAACGCUGGCGGCGUGCCUAAUACAUGCAAGUCGAGCGAACAGACGAGGAGCUUGCUCCUCUGACGUUAGCGGCGGACGGGUGAGUAACACGUGGAUAACCUACCUAUAAGACUGGGAUAACUUCGGGAAACCGGAGCUAAUACCGGAUAAUAUAUUGAACCGCAUGGUUCAAUAGUGAAAGACGGUUUUGCUGUCACUUAUAGAUGGAUCCGCGCCGCAUUAGCUAGUUGGUAAGGUAACGGCUUACCAAGGCAACGAUGCGUAGCCGACCUGAGAGGGGGACCGGCCACACUGGAACUGAGACACGGUCCAGACUCCUACGGGAGGCAGCAGUAGGGAAUCUUCCGCAAUGGGCGAAAGCCUGACGGAGCAACGCCGCGUGAGUGAUGAAGGUCUUCGGAUCGUAAAACUCUGUUAUUAGGGAAGAACAAAUGUGUAAGUAACUAUGCACGUCUUGACGGUACCUAAUCAGAAAGCCACGGCUAACUACGUG
This 497-nucleotide ribosomal RNA is filed under the name uncultured bacterium. RNAcentral describes it as "partial 16S ribosomal RNA". It matches the Rfam family "Bacterial small subunit ribosomal RNA", at positions 28 to 507 of the family's 1533-position model. The record is from RNAcentral.